Molecule: long non-coding RNA, 373 nt
Organism: Gasterosteus aculeatus aculeatus (three-spined stickleback)
Lineage: Eukaryota; Metazoa; Chordata; Actinopteri; Perciformes; Gasterosteidae
Source: Ensembl
CACAGCUCCAGCCAACAAAAACAGCACCUGCCUCUGCAUGUCCAUCAGCAGCCCAUUAACUCAUGUCUGGUGCAGCAGACUCUUUAAAGUGACCAGAAUGUGGCUGGCUCAAAGCCGCUCCUGUUGACGUAUGGAGAUGAAUGGACUCUGGCCUGCAUUGUCUCGCUGACACGCCCACAUUCAGCUUCAUUGGUCUUUGUGACAGGCCAAUGGGGGAGAUAUGCAAAUGGCAUUAAGAGUUUAUAACGCAGUCCGUCACACACAGAGCUGUACUGCUCUUGUGGGGAGGAUCCAACUGGCAACGCCGUCGCAGACACCGUCCUCCGGUUCACCCUCAGAAUUAGACACGUUGUGAGCUGUAAGAGAAGCAGAG